AGUGAACGCUGGCGGUAGGCCUAACACAUGCAAGUCGAACGGCAGCACAGUAAGAGCUUGCUCUUACGGGUGGCGAGUGGCGGACGGGUGAGGAAUACAUCGGAAUCUACUUUUUCGUGGGGGAUAACGUAGGGAAACUUACGCUAAUACCGCAUACGACCUACGGGUGAAAGCAGUGGAUCUUCGGACCUUGCGCGAUUGAAUGAGCCGAUGUCGGAUUAGCUAGUUGGCGGGGUAAAGGCCCACCAAGGCGACGAUCCGUAGCUGGUCUGAGAGGAUGAUCAGCCACACUGGAACUGAGACACGGUCCAGACUCCUACGGGAGGCAGCAGUGGGGAAUAUUGGACAAUGGGCGCAAGCCUGAUCCAGCCAUACCGCGUGGGUGAAGAAGGCCUUCGGGUUGUAAAGCCCUUUUAUUGGGAAAGAAAAGCAGCAGGUUAAUACCCCGCUGUUCUGACGGUACCCAAAGAAUAAGCACCGGCUAACUUCGUG
This 492-nucleotide ribosomal RNA is filed under the name uncultured bacterium. RNAcentral's name for it is "partial 16S ribosomal RNA". It matches the Rfam family "Bacterial small subunit ribosomal RNA", at positions 29 to 507 of the family's 1533-position model. The record is from RNAcentral.